This 217-nucleotide ribosomal RNA is filed under the name uncultured bacterium. RNAcentral's name for it is "partial 16S ribosomal RNA". It matches the Rfam family "Bacterial small subunit ribosomal RNA", at positions 28 to 222 of the family's 1533-position model. The record is from RNAcentral.
GACGAACGCUGGCGGCGUGCCUAAUACAUGCAAGUCGAACGAACUCUGGUAUUGAUUGGUGCUUGCAUCAUGAUUUACAUUUGAGUGAGUGGCGAACUGGUGAGUAACACGUAGGAAACCUGCCCAGAAGCGGGGGAUAACACCUGGAAACGAGAUGCUAAUACCGCAUAACAACUUGGACCGCAUGGCCCGAGUUUGAAAGAUGGCUUCGGCUAUC